GUGCGCGGCUGCCUCAGGCGGCGAGGAUCUGAGCUGGGCCCUUCAGGAGCCUCUGCGGGGCACUGUGAGGCGUCCGGACCACCGCCUGCCGCCGCUGUGAGCCCCAGAGGGCUCCGAGUCCGCACCCUGGAGCCGCCCUCUAGGGCGCGGCGUCUUUCGGGGUCGCCUGGACGCUGCAUUUCCUCCGUGCCCACGGUCUGGCCUUGGCGGGGCCCGCAGAGCCCCACGGAGCUCGAAGGGUGUGGACGAGGGUGACGCCCGUGCCUUCGAGGAAGCGUCUCUGCCCAAAGCGGGUCUGGUUUCGGCGGAGAUGCCGUGUUUUUGGUGAGCAGCAUCGCCGGCCUGACCCACUUGGUCGCGUUACUCUGCUAGGAUGUGGGGCAUUAUGUCAGGACCCGCGGCCAGAGGAACAAGGAGGCACGCGACUGCCCUGGCGUCUUGGGAGACGCGAGCUGGAUCUUACAGCACCAAGCUUCUGCCCCCGCCCAGAAUACGGCAUAGUUCUCCGGGGGAAGGGGCGGUCAACAGACUCCAAGGAACCCCGAGAUUUGGACAAAUAUCCUUCCUUAAAGAUUCAUAAGCAAGCAGAGAAGAAGGUUGUGACUGACACAUCUCUAUGUUUUCAGGUAGAGAAAAUGAUUGGUAUUCGGUAAACCCAGUGUUCACUAAACUGAAGCCUCUUCUGUUGCCAGCCUUUGGGUAGAACAGCAAUGAGGCAAGCUGGUGAUCAGCAAGCUGCUGCCUGGGCCCUUCUCUGUGUGCUUCUCCGGGGAGACGAAACAUCCCUGCCCAUACAGCCACAGCCACCCGGUCAGAACAAAACGGCAAAGGAAAAGUCAAGAGUCUCCUCACAUUUCCAUCGGAGAUUAAAGGUCAAGAUCUAAAAAAUAGUCUGGAAUUCUUCUGUGGUUGACUUGAAAAGCUGAGGCUCAGCUAUGAAUACUCCUAUCUCCACCG
Molecule: long non-coding RNA, 957 nt
Filed under: Fukomys damarensis (Damara mole-rat)
Lineage: Eukaryota; Metazoa; Chordata; Mammalia; Rodentia; Bathyergidae
Description: lncRNA (ENSFDAG00000031718.1)
Source: RNAcentral